UGGCUCUCGCAUCGAUGAAGAACGCAGCGAAAUGCGAUAAGUAGUGUGAAUUGCAGAAUUCAGUGAAUCAUCGAAUCUUUGAACGCACCUUGCGCUCCUUGGUAUUCCGAGGAGCAUGCCUGUUUGAGUGUCAUUAAAUUAUCAAUCCUUUUGUUUAAUCAAUUGGAUUGGAAUUGGGGGUUUUUGCUGGUUUCUUUACUGAAUAUCAGCUCUCCUAAAAUAUAUUAGCAGGUUGCCUUAGCUUGUCUUAUUGGUGUGAUAAGUUAUCUACGCUGUGGACUUGUUUACUAUGCAACUGCUUCCAAUUGUCUGUUUAAUCAGACAAAUUUUUUAUAUUUGACCUCAAAUCAGGUAGGAUUACCCGCUGA
Molecule: unclassified non-coding RNA, 368 nt
Filed under: uncultured fungus
Lineage: Eukaryota; Fungi
Description: partial contains 5.8S ribosomal RNA and internal transcribed spacer 2
Rfam family: 5.8S ribosomal RNA (bases 1-133)
Source: RNAcentral